RNAcentral lists this ribosomal RNA (433 nucleotides) under uncultured bacterium. RNAcentral describes it as "partial 16S ribosomal RNA". It matches the Rfam family "Bacterial small subunit ribosomal RNA", at positions 29 to 507 of the family's 1533-position model. The record is from RNAcentral.
AACGAACGCUGGCGGCAUGCCUAACACAUGCAAGUCGAACGAGACCUUCGGGUCUAGUGGCGCACGGGUGCGUAACGCGUGGGAACCUGCCCUUAGGUUCGGAAUAACUCCCCGAAAGGGGUGCUAAUACCGGAUAAUGUCUUCGGACCAAAGAUUUAUCGCCUUUGGAUGGGCCCGCGUUGGAUUAGCUAGUUGGUAGGGUAAAAGCCUACCAAGGCGACGAUCCAUAGCUGGUCUGAGAGGAUGAUCAGCCACACUGGGACUGAGACACGGCCCAGACUCCUACGGGAGGGAGCAGUGGGGAAUAUUGGAAAAUGGGCGAAGGCCUGAUCCAGCAAUGCCGCGUGAGUGAUGAAGGCCUUAGGGUUGUAAAGCUCUUUUAACCGGGAUGAUAAUGACAGUACCGGGAGAAUAAGCGCCGGCUAACUCCGUG